RNAcentral lists this transfer RNA (72 nucleotides) under Camelus ferus (Wild Bactrian camel). It matches the Rfam family "tRNA". Rfam says of the family: Transfer RNA (tRNA) molecules are approximately 80 nucleotides in length. The record is from Rfam by way of RNAcentral. Lineage: Eukaryota; Metazoa; Chordata; Mammalia; Artiodactyla; Camelidae.
GGGGUUGUAGCUCAGUGGUAGAGCGUGUGCUUAGCAUGCACGAGGUACCGGGUUCAAUCCCCAGUACCUCCA